RNAcentral lists this ribosomal RNA (464 nucleotides) under uncultured bacterium. RNAcentral's name for it is "partial 16S ribosomal RNA". It matches the Rfam family "Bacterial small subunit ribosomal RNA", at positions 28 to 507 of the family's 1533-position model. The record is from RNAcentral.
GACGAACGCUGGCGGCGUGCUUAACACAUGCAAGUCGAACGGAAAGGCCCUGCUUGCAGGGUACUCGAGUGGCGAACGGGUGAGUAACACGUGGGUGAUCUGCCCUGCACUUCGGGAUAAGCCUGGGAAACUGGGUCUAAUACCUGAUAGGAGCUAUUUUUAGCGUGAUGGUUGGAAAGUUUUUUCGGUGUUGGAUGGGCUCGCGGCCUAUCAGCUUGUUGGUGAGGUAAUGGCCUACCAAGGCGGCGACGGGUAGCCGGCCUGAGAGGGUGGACGGCCACAUUGGGACUGCGAUACGGCCCAGUCUCCUACGGGAGGCAGCAGUCGGGAAUAUUGCGCAGUGGCCGCGAGCCUGAUGCAGAGACGCCGCGUGGGGGAUGACGGCCUUCGGGUUGUAAACUCCUUUCGCUAGGGACGAAGCUUUUGUGACGGUACCUAGAUAAGAAGCACCGGCUAACUACGUG